RNAcentral lists this ribosomal RNA (440 nucleotides) under uncultured bacterium. RNAcentral's name for it is "partial 16S ribosomal RNA". It matches the Rfam family "Bacterial small subunit ribosomal RNA", at positions 338 to 795 of the family's 1533-position model. The record is from RNAcentral.
CCUACGGGGGGCAGCAGUGGGGAAUAUUGCACAAUGGGGGAAACCCUGAUGCAGCAACGCCGCGUGAUCGAAGAAGGCCUUCGGGUCGUAAAGCUCUGUCCUAAGGGAAGAAGGAUGACGGUACCUUAGGAGGAAGCCCCGGCUAACUACGUGCCAGCAGCCGCGGUAAGACGUAGGGGGCGAGCGUUAUCCGGAAUCACUGGGCGUAAAGGGUGCGUAGGCGGCCGAUAAAGUCUGGGGUGAAAGGCUACGGCUCAACCGUAGUAAGCCUUGGAAACUUAUUGGCUUGAGUGCAGGAGAGGAGGUCGGAAUUCCUGGUGUAGGAGUGAAAUGAGUAGAAAUCAGGAGGAACACCAGAGGCGAUGGCGGCUCUCUGGACUGGAACUGACGCUGAGGCACGGAAGCGUGGGGAGCUAACAGGAUAAGAUACACCUGUAGUC